CUACGGGAGGCUCCAGUGGGGGAUAUUGCGCAAUGGGCGAAAGCCUGAUGCAGCAACGCCGCGUGAAGGAAGACGGUUUUCGGAUUGUAAACUUCUAUCAGCAGGGAAGAAAAUGACUGUACCUGACUAAGAAGCCCCGGCUAACUACGUGCCAGCAGCCGCGGUAAUACGUAGGGGGCAAGCGUUAUCCGGAAUUACUGGGUGUAAAGGGUACGUAGGCGGCUGAUCAAGUCAGAUGUGAAAGCCCGGAGCUCAACUCCGGGACUGCAUUUGAAACUGGUCGGCUAGAGUGCAGGAGAGGAAAGUGGAAUUCCUAGUGUAGCGGUGAAAUGCGUAGAUAUUAGGAAGAACACCAGUGGCGAAGGCGGCUUUCUGGACUGUAACUGACGCUGAGGUACGAAAGCGUGGGGAGCGAACAGGAUUAGAUACCCCCGUAGUC
RNAcentral lists this ribosomal RNA (439 nucleotides) under uncultured bacterium. RNAcentral's name for it is "partial 16S ribosomal RNA". It matches the Rfam family "Bacterial small subunit ribosomal RNA", at positions 339 to 795 of the family's 1533-position model. The record is from RNAcentral.